Molecule: ribosomal RNA, 458 nt
Filed under: uncultured bacterium
Lineage: Bacteria
Description: bacterial LSU rRNA
Rfam family: Bacterial large subunit ribosomal RNA
Source: RNAcentral
CACAUGGUGGAUGCCUUGGCGAUUACAGGCGAUGAAGGACGUAGUAGCCUGCGAAAAGCUACGGGGAGCUGGCAAACGAGCUUUGAUCCGUAGAUGUCCGAAUGGGGAAACCCGGCGCGCAAGCGUCACUCCCACCUGAAUAUAUAGGGUGGGUAGAGCGAACGCAGCGAACUGAAACAUCUAAGUAGCUGCAGGAAAAGAAAUCAACCGAGAUUCCCAAAGUAGUGGCGAGCGAAAUGGGAAGAGCCUGUAUGUGAUAGUCAACUGGUUAGUGGAACGGAAUGGAAAGUCCGGCGAUAGAGGGUGAUAGCCCCGUACACGAAAACUGGUUGGUGGUACUGAGCAUACGACAAGUAGGGCGGGGCACGAGAAACCUUGUCUGAACAUGGGGGGACCAUCCUCCAAGGCUAAAUACUCGUAAUCGACCGAUAGUGAACCAGUACCGUGAGGGAAAGGCG